GCUGAAGCUGCCUGAAGCCCCCGGAGUGCAGCGGGAACUUCCGCUGCACUCCGGGGGCUUCAGGCGGCUAUCUGC
Molecule: microRNA precursor, 75 nt
Filed under: Podarcis lilfordi (Lilford's wall lizard)
Lineage: Eukaryota; Metazoa; Chordata; Lepidosauria; Squamata; Lacertidae
Source: RNAcentral